RNAcentral lists this unclassified non-coding RNA (329 nucleotides) under soil metagenome. RNAcentral's name for it is "partial contains 5.8S ribosomal RNA, internal transcribed spacer 2, and large subunit ribosomal RNA". The stretch from base 1 to 120 matches the Rfam family "5.8S ribosomal RNA", at positions 35 to 154 of the family's 154-position model. The record is from RNAcentral.
GAUGAAGAACGCAGCGAAAUGCGAUAAGUAAUGUGAAUUGCAGAAUUCAGUGAAUCAUCGAAUCUUUGAACGCACAUUGCGCCCCCUGGUAUUCCGGGGGGCAUGCCUGUCCGAGCGUCAUUACAACCCUCAAGCUCAGCUUGGUGUUGGGCCCCGCCGCCCCGGCGGGCCCUAGAGUCAGUGGCGGUGCCGUCCGGCUCCGAGCGUAGUAAUUCUUCUCGCUCUGGAGGCCCGGUCGUGUGCUCGCCAGCAACCCCCAAUUUUUUUCAGGUUGACCUCGGAUCAGGUAGGGAUACCCGCUGAACUUAAGCAUAUCAAUAAGCGGAGGA